RNAcentral lists this ribosomal RNA (273 nucleotides) under uncultured prokaryote. RNAcentral's name for it is "partial 16S ribosomal RNA". It matches the Rfam family "Bacterial small subunit ribosomal RNA", at positions 524 to 798 of the family's 1533-position model. The record is from RNAcentral.
UACGUAGGGGCUAGCGUUAUCCGGAAUUGCUGGGCGUAAAGGGUGCGUAGGCGGUCUUUCAAGCCAGAAGUGAAAGGCUACGGCUCAACCGUAGUAAGCCUUUGAAACUGGGAAACUUGAGUGCAGGAGAGGAGAGUGGAAUUCCUAGUGUAGCGGUGAAAUGCGUAGAUAUUAGGAGGAACACCAGUUGCGAAGGCGGCUCUCUGGACUGUAACUGACACUGAGGCACGAAAGCGUGGGGAGCAAACAGGAUUAGAUACCCUGGUAGUCCCU